This 462-nucleotide ribosomal RNA is filed under the name Vreelandella stevensii. Its description in RNAcentral is "partial 16S ribosomal RNA". It matches the Rfam family "Bacterial small subunit ribosomal RNA", at positions 341 to 795 of the family's 1533-position model. The record is from RNAcentral. Lineage: Bacteria; Pseudomonadati; Pseudomonadota; Gammaproteobacteria; Oceanospirillales; Halomonadaceae.
ACGGGCGGCAGCAGUGGGGAAUAUUGGACAAUGGGCGAAAGCCUGAUCCAGCCAUGCCGCGUGUGUGAAGAAGGCCUUCGGGUUGUAAAGCACUUUCAGUGGGGAAGAAAGCCUUGGGGCUAAUACCCUCGAGGAAGGACAUCACCCACAGAAGAAGCACCGGCUAACUCCGUGCCAGCGGCCGCGGUAAUACGGAGGGUGCGAGCGAUAAUCGGAAUUACUGGGCGUAAAGCGCGCGUAGGCGGUCUGAUAAGCCGGUUGUGAAAGCCCCGGGCUCAACCUGGGAACGGCAUCCGGAACUGUCAGGCUAGAGUGCAGGAGAGGAAGGUAGAAUUCCCGGUGUAGCGGUGAAAUGCGUAGAGAUCGGGAGGAAUACCAGUGGCGAAGGCGGCCUUCUGGACUGACACUGACGCUGAGGUGCGAAAGCGUGGGUAGCAAACAGGAUUAGAUACCCGGGUAGUC